This 67-nucleotide microRNA precursor is filed under the name Zootermopsis nevadensis. RNAcentral's name for it is "mir-46/mir-47/mir-281 microRNA precursor family". It matches the Rfam family "mir-46/mir-47/mir-281 microRNA precursor family", at positions 12 to 79 of the family's 85-position model. From Rfam's summary of the family: The hairpin precursors (represented here) are predicted based on base pairing and cross-species conservation -- their extents are not known. In this case the mature sequences are expressed from the 3' arms of the hairpin precursors. The record is from RNAcentral. Lineage: Eukaryota; Metazoa; Arthropoda; Insecta; Blattodea; Termopsidae.
CUAUCAAGAGAGCUAUCCGUCGACAGUAUUGUUUCUAAACUGUCAUGGAGUUGCUCUCUUUAUGGAC